Molecule: ribosomal RNA, 254 nt
Filed under: uncultured bacterium
Lineage: Bacteria
Description: partial 16S ribosomal RNA
Rfam family: Bacterial small subunit ribosomal RNA
Source: RNAcentral
GACGGGGGGUGCUAGCGUUGUUCGGAAUCACUGGGCGUAACGGGCGCGUAGGCGGCUCAUGAAGUCGGCUCGUGGAAGCGCGGGGCUCAACCCCGGAGGUGCGGCCGAUACUCUUGGGCUCGACGCCGGAAGAGGAGGGUGGAAUACCCAGUGUAGAGGUGAAAUUCGUAGAUAUUGGGGGGAACACCGGUGGCGAAUCCGGCUCUCUGGUCCGGUCCUGACGCUGGGGCGCUAAAGCGUUGGGAGCAAACAGC